GCUGGCAGUCACUUCUUCUGGCUGCAUGUGCUUGCCCCUAAUAAUCUUUAUCCCAAACACCUGUGCAUGAUUUCGAGGGUUUCCGAGUUGAUUUUGCUGUCGUCUCGGAUCCCCUUGCUUUUCCCACUUUUUAUACACUGCUUGCAAUAUCGAAUGUGCUUUGUGCCGCAAGGCAUUUAACGCAAUAUACAACUUUUAACAACGGAUCUCUUGGCUCUCGCAUCGAUGAAGGACGCAGCGAAAUGCGAUAAGUAAUGUGAAUUGCAGAAUUCAGUGAAUCAUCGAAUCUUUGAACGCACCUUGCGCUCCCUGGUAUUCCGGGGAGCACGCCUGUUCGAGUGUCGUGAAAUUUCUCAAGCUGAGAUGUUUUUCUUAGUCUUGGUGUUGGGCUCUGCCGUGUCUCUUAUUGGGAUGGCUGGCCUUAAAAGCAUUAGCUGACUCUCAUGUGAAUAAAUUGGUUCUACUCGGCGUGAUUAAUGAUUUUGACCGCUGAGGACAUCUUUGGCGAUGGCCAGUUCUCAUUUGAGUUGCUUCUAAUCUUGGUUGUACGGAUUGUUAGUCUGUAUGCCUCGUUUUUCAGCUUUGACCUCGAAUCAGGUGGGACUACCCGCUGAACUUAAGCAUAUCAAUAAGCGGAGGAAAAGAAACUAACAAGGAUUCCCCUAGUAACGGCGAGUGAAGCGGGAAAAGCUCAAAUUUAAAAUCUGGCAAUCUUUGGUUGUCCGAAUUGUAAUCUAGAGAAGCGUUUUCCGUGCUGGACCGUGUACAGAUCUCCCUGAAUACGACUUUUACUUCCUCUAAUGACCAGAUCUCUGACGCUUUUCUCU
Molecule: ribosomal RNA, 827 nt
Filed under: Clavulina amazonensis
Lineage: Eukaryota; Fungi; Basidiomycota; Agaricomycetes; Cantharellales; Hydnaceae
Description: eukaryotic LSU rRNA
Rfam family: 5.8S ribosomal RNA (bases 191-344)
Source: RNAcentral